This 255-nucleotide ribosomal RNA is filed under the name uncultured bacterium. Its description in RNAcentral is "partial 16S ribosomal RNA". It matches the Rfam family "Bacterial small subunit ribosomal RNA", at positions 524 to 776 of the family's 1533-position model. The record is from RNAcentral.
UACAUGGGGUGCAAACGUUGCUCGGAAUUAUUGGGCGUAAAGCGCACGUAGGCGGUUCGUUAAGUCGGAUGUGAAAGCCCUCGGCUCAACUGAGGAAGUGCACCCGAAACUGGCGAGCUUGAGUACGAAAGAGGAUCGCGGAAUUCCCGGUGUAGAGGUGAAAUUCGUAGAUAUCGGGGAGGAACACCGGUGGCGAAGGCGGCUCACUGGCUCGUAUCUGACGCUCAGGCGCGAUAGCGUGGGGGAUCAAACAGG